Molecule: long non-coding RNA, 982 nt
Filed under: Rattus norvegicus (Norway rat)
Lineage: Eukaryota; Metazoa; Chordata; Mammalia; Rodentia; Muridae
Description: long non-coding RNA NONRATT013054
Source: RNAcentral
AGCACACCUCAGACUAACACAGUCCCCAUUAAACCUUUGAUUAGUACUCCGCCUGUCUCAUCACAGCCAAAGGUUAGUACUCCAGUAGUUAAGCCAGGACCAGUGUCACAUUCGGCUACACAGCAGCCCGUGACUGCUGACAAGCAGCAGGGCCAUGAUCCUGUCUCUCCACGAAGUCUUCAGCGCUUAAGGUUAGUUGGUUAAUACUGUGUUAUUAUUUAUUUUUAAUAUGGCAUCCUAUGCUGUUUGAGCAAGAUGUACUCCAUCUCAGAAGAAUUUGACAGGCUCAUGGAUGACUUUUACUAAACAAGUCACACAGUUCACAAAGAAGUUUAAAGGCAUCUUUAAGCUGUAACUAGAUGGAAAUAAACUGUGUGCUACUUGUAUAGGAAAGGCACGUGGCAUUGUGUUUGCCACAGUAUUUGCUUUUUAGCCUACUCAUAGAAAUUUUGAGAGUAUUGGUGAAAUAAAAGAAAAAAAAAUCCUCACCUCCAAAACCAAUGUUACACAUCCUUAAAGUCUUUAAAUCUAACCUCAUUCAGAUCACUUUUCAUAUUGUUAUAAAUGUCAUAUAUAUGUGUUAUGUUAUGAAUAAUUGUUACAAACUGUUUGUACUUUUCUGUGCUCAUUCUGAAUGGUUUUUUGUGUAUACUUGCUUUCUGGCCAAGUAUUUCAGAAUUUAUACAUUGAAAUGAGAAUUUCUUCAUUCUAAAUGAUCCCUUUAGAAGUCAGCAAUGUUGCCAUUGCUCAGAACAGUUUUGGGAAAUUCUUAUUUUAAAUAAUGUUUAGAGGAUGCAGUGUUACUUUAAAUAUAUCUUCAGUGAUGAAAAUUCUUUUAGAAAUUUAGUUUUGGGGAAUAACUGAAAUCUGUUCAAGGCCAAGUCUGGUGAAGCAGGUACGUAAUCAGCUUGGGUGGUUGAGAUUUUGGUUUUUAUCACCAUAUGUCCCCAAGCCCUGUCCCAGAGUAUUCAGAUUUCAGGGA